AAUAGAUACCCCGGUAGUCCACGCCGUAAACGAUGAGUGCUAAGUGUUAGAGGGUUUCCGCCCUUUAGUGCUGCAGCUAACGCAUUAAGCACUCCGCCUGGGGAGUACGGUCGCAAGACUGAAACUCAAAGGAAUUGACGGGGGCCCGCACAAGCGGUGGAGCAUGUGGUUUAAUUCGAAGCAACGCGAAGAACCUUACCAGGUCUUGACAUCCUCUGACAACUCUAGAGAUAGAGCGUUCCCCUUCGGGGGACAGAGUGACAGGUGGUGCAUGGUUGUCGUCAGCUCGUGUCGUGAGAUGUUGGGUUAAGUCCCGCAACGAGCGCAACCCUUGAUCUUAGUUGCCAGCAUUUAGUUGGGCACUCUAAGGAGACUGCCGGUGACAAACCGGAGGAAGGUGGGGAUGACGUCAAAUCAUCGAUGCCCCUUAUGACCUGGGCUACACACGUGCUACAAUGGACGGUCAAAGAGCUGCGAACCCGCGAGGGGUAAGCCCAAGUCCCAUAAAACCCGGUUCUCAGUUCGGAUUGUAAGUCCUGC
RNAcentral lists this ribosomal RNA (540 nucleotides) under uncultured bacterium. Its description in RNAcentral is "bacterial SSU rRNA". It matches the Rfam family "Bacterial small subunit ribosomal RNA", at positions 777 to 1308 of the family's 1533-position model. The record is from RNAcentral.